GUAGGGAAUAUUGCACAAUGGAGGAAACUCUGAUGCAGCGACGCCGCGUGAGUGAUGAAGGCCUUCGGGUCGUAAAACUCUGUGAUAAGGGAAGAUGAUGACGGUACCUUAUCAGAAAAGACCGGCUAACUUCGUGCCAGCAGCCGCGGUAAUACGAGGGGUCUAAGCGUUGUUCGGAAUCACUGGGCGUAAAGCGGGUGUAGGUGGCUAUGCAAGUUGGAUGUGAAAGCCCCGGGCUCAACCCGGGAAGUGCAUCCAAAACUACGUAGCUUGAGUGCGGGAGAGAAAGGCAGAAUUCCUGGUGUAGUGGUGAAAUACGUAGAUAUCAGGAGGAACUCCGGUGGCGAAGGCGGCCUUUUGGCCCAGCACUGACACUCAGACCCGAAAGCGUGGGUAGCAAACAGGAUUAGAUACCCCUGUAGUCC
RNAcentral lists this ribosomal RNA (425 nucleotides) under uncultured bacterium. RNAcentral's name for it is "partial 16S ribosomal RNA". It matches the Rfam family "Bacterial small subunit ribosomal RNA", at positions 354 to 796 of the family's 1533-position model. The record is from RNAcentral.